Molecule: non-coding RNA, 394 nt
Organism: Doryrhamphus excisus (bluestripe pipefish)
Lineage: Eukaryota; Metazoa; Chordata; Actinopteri; Syngnathiformes; Syngnathidae
Source: RefSeq, a predicted model, not a curated record
AAAAUGGCGCCGAGGAAGAAAACUCAAAAUAAGGAAGCGAAAGUGUUUUUUGUUUACAUUAUUAAUUUAAGUGUGAACGACAAAACAGCAGAGGACAUGGGCAAAAUAUGAACAGACAUGGAGAAAAGGUUGGAAUCGCUCUGAUGGCGCCAUGACUGUAGUCGCUGAGGCUUGUGGAAGCGCCCCCCCGCCCCAGUGCCCCCCCGACCCUGUGAAAGCAAGAAGGUAUGUAAGCUAAGGUGAGUGUAGUAGUAAUUAAAGUUCAAUUGAUCCAACAAAGCCUUCGUUUUCCCUCGCCGUCUUGCAGCGAUAUCGGCCUCUCAUUAGAUUUAUGCAGCCACUCCAAAAUAGGGAUUUUAUGAUGAAACAUUAAAAUUGCAUGUAAUCGUUUUUU